Molecule: long non-coding RNA, 1639 nt
Organism: Lepisosteus oculatus (spotted gar)
Lineage: Eukaryota; Metazoa; Chordata; Actinopteri; Semionotiformes; Lepisosteidae
Source: RefSeq, a predicted model, not a curated record
UUCUGCAUGGAGUUAGUGCAAUGUGGUCACACCACCAUUAUUCAAUUUACUCUUCAGUCUCACUUUCUUUUCACACGUGUGGCACCCUCCACAUAUUAUCUUGUGCUCUGUCAUUGGAAAUGCACACACCCCUGUUAACCACCGCAGGGCAACAGACCCCGGUGAGCCUGCAGUUCUGCUCUCCUGUCUCUCCUUACUCACCUACCAGCACAGCUGGAGAAAAUAAGGGAAAAUCGCUGCAGUAUCGUGAAUGGUACAUCUCUAGAUGUGUUCAUGCAGUGGAAUCUCAAAGUAUGCACAUGCAGGAGGAGAGCUUCCUCCUCGACAGGAGUACAGCACCCGCCUGGGUGAGGUCUGCCAGUCAUUCUGUAGCAGCAGGUCCACUACACAGCACCACAGGUAGAGAAGUGCGCAAUUUGCCCAAAUCAGCUGUUCUUUGCCGUUUGGGGAAAAAAAACUGUUAAUGAUUCAUUUAGGCUCACUUUAAUCAGUAGUCAAACCCAUCCCUAUUCUCACCACUUUAUCCAGUACUGUGUCGCAGGAAGAGCCAGAGCCUAUCUGGGCAAGCAAUGGGCGCAAGUGCUGGAGCUCCGGGUUCGAUUCCUGGUGCUGUCUGCGUGGAGUUUGUAUGUUCUCCUCUGCUCUGGUUUCCUCCCACAGUCCGGAGGCAAGCUGGUAGGUUAAUUAGCUUCUGGCCCUGGGUGAGUAUGUGCAUUUGUGGCUGUGUGCGUCCUGCAAUGCACUGUUGUCCCAUCCAGGGUGUAUCCUGCCCUGCACCUGUUGCUUGCCAGUAUAGGCUCCGGCUCCCCAGCGACCCUGAAUUGCAAGAGGCUGUUAGGAAACGGAUGGAUGAAUAAACAGACGCCUAAACAUGCUUGUUUUUACAUUCCUGUUUUCCUGCUCUUCAUUUUUCUUGAAAGCUGUCCUUAGGUGUAAGUAUAUAACCUGGGUGUUUUUGGACAGUUAUCUUCCAUGAAGAAAUGUUUUGAAUUUCCCAAUCAUAUUGCCUUGUCAGGAAAGUCUCUUUAUUGACGUGGUGAUAUUGACCUUCGAGAAGCUGCGAGGUGUGUGGUAAAUCACUCUGUCAUCUUGUUUUCUUCUUAUUUUUCUUCUUCUGCCUGAGCCAUUUCUCCCUGUGUAGCUACCCAUUUCUCAUAAAGUACUGAUUACAGUGUAGGCAUUGAUUUUCUUGCCUUUUCCCUAUCAGAGCGCCUUUCUGUGUGAAGGGUAAUUGCGAAUACAUGACUGUUCUAUUUAGGAACACACGGAGGUUAAUUCCAUGCUGUGAAGUGGAAAGGGAGAAAAAAAGCAGUGCCAUAUCUACUGUGUUUUAUCCAGGUCAUUGUGACACUGUGGGGCUCUGGUGUUUCACUUACUGCACUUGGAACAUUAGCACAUAAAAAGGCUGCAAACAGAUCCUCCUAUGUUCCAUUAAGCCUAUUAAAUAGACUGAUAACAAAAGCAGCUUGGAGAUACUGAGACAACUCUGCUGCAGAUAAAGGGACACCACUCCAGUUUUUGAACCUUUCUCUGCUGUCCUGGUUUUUAUCAUUCAAGGCCAUAGAGAUCAUCAUAUGCAAAUGACUACUAAUUCUAAGACAUUUCAUUAUUACAAUUUCCGAAUUACAUCUACUGUAUG